Long non-coding RNA from Trifolium pratense (red clover), 1107 nucleotides. RefSeq lists it as uncharacterized. The record is from RefSeq and is a predicted model, not a curated record. The transcript is spliced from 6 exons. Lineage: Eukaryota; Viridiplantae; Streptophyta; Magnoliopsida; Fabales; Fabaceae.
CUCACUCUCAUCCGUCCUCUCUCUCACUCGUAAUCUCCAACCGUAGCUCUAAACCAAACCUUCUCUCACUCGUAAGGGAAACGCAGCAUCGCAAACCAUCAACUCAUCCUUCAACCGUGACGAUCCCGAUAUCAAUUGGCGAUUCUCCCUAAAUCUCAAACCCCGGUAUGGAUUCGUCCCCAAAUCCGUAACCCAGUGUCGAUUCAUCCCCAAAUUCCAGACAUCGGUUCGCGCAAAAUCUCUUGAAGAAUUGGUACCACCAUCGAAGGUUCAUUCUUCCACUUCAACCGAUUUCGUCGAUGCCGAUUCGCCGAUUCUUCGUUCGUCAAAGUCUAUCCUCUGCUAUUUAGUUUGGAAGUGAUGUUGGUGAAGCCUUGGAACCACAACGAAAGCUUCAGUUUGGAGUGUUUGAAUGUGACAUGCUAAAGUGUGAGGGAGUUAUAGAAGAGUUUCUUUUAGAAGUAAUCCUAAAUCCUAAAUAAUGAAGUGAUCCUAAAUCCUAAUCAAACUACUAGUGAUAAGUAUUUUGUUGUGCAGAAUCUUAUCAAGGUAAUGAAAUUAUAAUCAAAAUCAAAACUUUUCUUUUGAUUUAAAGUCUCUGCAAGUGGUUGAAUCUUAAUACUUUAUAAUGUCAUGAGUAAAGUGCUUUCAACUAGUCAACUAUGUGAAGAUGGAAAUGUAACAAUAUUAUUUGGACAGAGAACAUCACAAUACAGAGAAUAUCCAUCCAACUCUGCUUUGAGUUUAAUAAAUAGAAGGAAAAUUGAACUCCAAAAGUCAUAGGCCAAAGUGAGUGUGUGGAAGAGUGAAGCAACAGAGCAGGUGUUCGAUGAUCCCACGUCAUUAUCGGAGGAGGAGCUGUAUGAAUUGCGAAACAGCUGGGCAACUUGUUUUCUUGACUUAUAUAAUCCCGAGGUGGAUUAUGAUGUUGCCGAUGAUGAGGCUUAGGAGCUAGCUAGGUUAAUUUGUGUGAUGUUAGGUAUUUUGCUUAGGAGCUAGUUGUAUGAAUUAUGAUGUUUUGCUUGAAUUGUGGUAUUUUGCUUGACAUUUGGCAUGUAAUGACAUUUGGUAUUUUGCUUGAAUUGUAAUGUAAUUGUAUUUUGGUUG